UACCAUUUAUAUUCGCAUAUCAAAGAAAACAAAAAGUGAUUGGGGUUCGUUUUCCAACAGAAAAACUUACACAAUCCUUUCGCUUAAAAAGCCGCCAUAUUCAUCUUCUAAAUCUUGUGGAGUGUCCCAGUGAAAAACAGUAACGAAUGGAGUUAUACCUAAUUACAGAAAAAAAUAAAAAAUUAGAGAAGUUUAAUACGUAAGAGAUUAUAA
This 213-nucleotide small RNA is filed under the name Arabidopsis thaliana (thale cress). RNAcentral describes it as "ATSL134780". The record is from RNAcentral. Lineage: Eukaryota; Viridiplantae; Streptophyta; Magnoliopsida; Brassicales; Brassicaceae.